Syngnathus acus (greater pipefish) is the source of this 469-nucleotide long non-coding RNA. RefSeq lists it as uncharacterized. The transcript has 2 exons. The record is from RefSeq and is a predicted model, not a curated record. NCBI's taxonomy places the organism in Eukaryota, Metazoa, Chordata, Actinopteri, Syngnathiformes, Syngnathidae.
GAAACGGCCGCUGUCCACCUGAGCCACGAGCCAAGGCUUCAAGCGCACUCUCCGGCCCUGCGCGCUCAUGAUCUCGCAAGGGAGGGAGGGAGGGCGGUCGUCAGUCAUCAGCUGCUCAUGCUGAUCCUGAAGAGGAAGUGACACCCUAAGCGCAGAAUGUGCCACGAUACUUUUAGAAGGCAUUGCGCUUCAGUAUCAGGCUGAGCUGAUGGACCGGAAAAGGUGUCUGAGCUCACCUGCCGUCGUCCUGGUGCCGAGAUGCUACUUGAGACGCGCUUUCCCAAAGUCCUGCCGCCGCUGCUGCUGCUGCUGCCGCUCUCGCUGUCAGCAACUUUCCCCCUCUCUGGAGCCCUUCCUUGUCCUGUGGCAGCUCUCCGAUUGGCUGAGCCUUCCGCCCCCCCCUUCCGUGGGCAUGACUUGCUUGAAGAGGUCCUCAGAUGUUUGCAAGCGUUAAAAAUGUCAACCAGGA